UACGUAGGUGGCAAGCGUUAUCCGGAAUUAUUGGGCGUAAAGCGCGCGCAGGCGGUUUUUUAAGUCCGAUGUGAAAGCCCACCGCUCAACCGUGGAGGGUCAUUGGAAACUGGAAAACUUGAGUGCAGAAGAGGAAAGUGGAAUUCCAUGUGUAGCGGUGAAAUGCGCAGAGAUAUGGAGGAACACCAGUGGCGAAGGCGGCUUUCUGGUCUGUAACUGACGCUGAUGUGCGAAAGCGUGGGGAUCAAACAGG
Molecule: ribosomal RNA, 253 nt
Filed under: uncultured bacterium
Lineage: Bacteria
Description: partial 16S ribosomal RNA
Rfam family: Bacterial small subunit ribosomal RNA
Source: RNAcentral